GAUCACGGCCUUAACCUGUAAGAUAAUAGGUAGGUGGAAAGUUCCACCUUAUGUCUGUGCUCAGAUUGUGAGCUCUUUCCCUAACGUCGGAGAAGUGGGAGAGCAUAAGAGACAGGGGGGUGGUUUGUGUCUGCCCCAUUAUGUCCCCAGUCCAUACCAAGGCACAGACAGUUAUGACACUUAACAAAGACACAGUAACACAGACAAAUGCACAGUUAACAAGGACACAGUAACACAGACAAACGUUCCCGUGCGGCCGCGGAGACAAAACAGAAAGUAACCCGAAGGGCUGGCAGUCGGCCCUCCUUACAGAUGGGGACCCCGUCCUCCAGGCGGGGCAAGGGACGUCUCCCAAGACCCCCGGUGGAUCGGCCUGCCAGCACGUCUGUCUCAGCCAAUGUCGACCUAAUACAGAUUGGAAUUCCUACAGGGAAGACAAAUCUUUGAAGGUAUGCCUGUGUAAUAAAACGCCGUACCAACAUUGUAGCGUGGCAGGUCACUGGGAACCAGGAAUGAGCAACUGUGAACACAAUGACCCAAACUGAUUCAGCUGUGAGGAUAUGCUUCUUCAGUAUGAUCACCUGGGACCACAGCACUUGCAAAGAGAGGGACCUCCUCCACUCUCUUCAUCUGCCAUCAAAGACUGGCAGUGAUUACCGAGGCCUCUACAGGAAGGACAUUGUUAGAAGAAGCUACUUUUCCAUCUGAAAACAGAGUUCUGGUUUAUUCUGUUCAUCAGCUUUGUUUUACAGCACUGUACUUCUCAUGAAACUUCUUAUUACUUGUUUUAGUUCUUUUGGGGGGCAUUUGUUAUGGUUUUAUAUCAGAAAAAAAACUUGUAUUUGAAAUCUUAGGUAGAAAUUCUAGGUCUACAACUUAUUAAAGAGUUUCCCAAAACAGCCUAUUGGAUCUCUGAGCUUCCUCUUCCACAAAAUUUUCACUUGUGAAACAGUGAGAAAUAAACAUUGGUGGAAGCUCAUAUCUAUGCUUCCCCUCCCAUUCAGUCACAGCAUCAUUUUAAUUUUUCUACCUCAUUCCAGAAACUAUUGUUUUUCCUACUACUGUCUUCCACUCUAGACGAGGAGAACAGCAAAUGCUUCUUUCCUGGACUCUUGCAAAGUCAUCCCAUCUAGUAAUCCCCUUUCACUUUUUCUACUUUUCAGAUCAUCUUUCUAUGAGAUGCUCACGGUCUAUUCUUUCUCUUGCUCAAAUCACUUUAAUUCCAAAUGGAUGCAUAUAUUUAAAGGUUUUUCUUAAAUUAAAGACAUUUCUGCCUAUUUUAAUGUGUCAAAGAUACAUUUUUUUUUCCAAAAAAAAAAAAGAAGUUUGGAAAGAGUUUUAAAUUUCUUUGAGGAUAUACAUGGGAUUUCCAACUAAAGCAAAUUUAAAAAGCCUUCUAUGAGUUUUGUUUGCCUCAAAACUCUCAUCCUGAAAUGGCUGUGCUUUUGAGAACUUAACAACAACAGAUUUUCGGUUAGUUUUGCAAAUAUAAUCAACAAAAACUUAUUUUAAAUAGUGUAAGUGAUCCUUGGAGAAAUAUAUUAAACAUUGUAUAACUUUUCUAAGUACUAUCUCUGUGGAACAACCCAGUGGUGACAAAGUUGGGAACAGUGGGAGGAAGUAAAUACAAUAGCUCUCAUUAAGGUCUCCUUAAGUAACAAUUAUUCAGAAGUAGGCUAGUUUCUCUCUCUCUGUCUUUCUGACUCUCUCUCUCUCUGUCCCUCUGCCUUCCCCUCACUUUUUUAAAGUAAGAAAAGAAGAAUUUAGAUGUCCACCUCAAUUUGGUGGGGACAGGAGAAUAGGCAGUCAGAAAUUCUUUUCCUUUCCUUCUUUGGCUCAGCACAAAGUAUUUCAGAUGACCUUGCAAAUGCAUUCAACAUUAUUAGGGCCACUCUUUUCUUGUAAUACCAUUUUCUUUGGUCCCCAGAUAUUCUACUAUCCUGCCUUCUGUCACUUCUCUGUCUCCUGAAGAAGUACAUUUCUUCCACAUGGCCAUUAAAUACUAUCUUUGCUCAGUGUUCAGUUGCUGGUCUUUCGCUCCUCUCAUUUUAUAUCUUUCCCUAGGUAAUCUCAUUUAUACUUAUAUCCUUAGUCACUGCAUCAGCUCAGGUUAUCCAUAAAUUUAUCUGUGUAACUAAGACCUUUUCUUGAGCUACAUGUGUCUCUAUCCAACAGAUGAUUUCACAGUCUCCAGCCAGUCUCAAAUGUAUCACAAAUCCUCUAUGCUGAAAACCAAAAUCAUCAUCUUCCCUUCCAAACCAUGACCGUUUCCUGUCACAGUGAAUGGAACUAACAUCUAGUAAGUUACAUAAACCAAGAGCCUGAAUUCAUCCUUGAAACUUAGCUUUCAAUAAUAUCCUUGCCACAUCUAAUCUAUCACCAAAGUAUGCUAACUUAUCUCCUAAAUAAGCUCUGAAAUCAAUUCCUUUUUCUUUAUCUUUAUUACCAACUCUAUAGUCCAGCAACUGUCAUCUCUCAGCUGGCCUACAAAAUGUCUUCUUUCUGGUCUACUCAAAUUCACACUUGCCCCCAUGCAGUCCAACUCCACGUUUAUUCAGAUGUUUUCUUCCCUUCCACCCUUACAACUCCUCAGUUACAACUUUUCAUUGGCUUGCCAUUGCUCUCAGAAGACCAAUAGUCCCUAUGGUUUAUAAUACCCAGAAUAAUCUUGUGCCUCUCUUUUUCCUCAGCUCCAUCUUCUACUACUAUCCUUUUUAUUCUCUCAGCUUAAGUUUUGCUGGCCAUCAUUAAUCCUUCUUAAUCACCGUUUUCCCCUCUUGUUCCAAAUCCUCUAGGUCUUGAGUAUUCUUUAUUUUCCAAUUUAUGGAGUUUAAACCUAUUUACCUUCCAGAGUUAGGAUCCCAACCCCCCAAACUAGAUCAAAUCUACCUUAUUUACCUUCCAGAGUUAGAAUCCCAACCCCGAAACUAGAUCAAAUCUACCUAUUAUAAUCUUUAGUUGAAUAUAUAUCUUCAUUCUGGUACUAUCAGAAUUUCAAUUUUACAUUUUUUGUAAAAUUUUUGUGGCAUUUUUUGUUGUUAUCUUUUGAAUAGGCUUUAAAUUUUCUGAGGCCAUUGACCAGUUUUGCUCAAUACGUAGCACAGAGUGAGUGGUCAGUGAUAUUUGCUGUAAGAAUUGCUUGAUAAAUAAACAUGUCUACAAUGGCAGAUCCACCUUUUCACAGUGGCCACAAUGCCAGUGUUCCCUCUGCAAGAAGCUAUGUAAUGAGGAAAGGGAAACAUGGACCAUGGAGUUAAACAAAUAUGAGCAUGAAACUUCCUUUUCUACCUGCCACUUUGAAGCCUAUGAACUGGCCAUCAAUUUUCUUCCUCAACAAAAAUUGUACUGGGGCACCUGGGUGGUUCAGUCAGUGAAUAGUCUGCUUUUGACUCAGGUCAUGAUCCCAAGGUCCUGGGUUCAAGCCCUGCCUCAGGCUCCCUGGUCCUUGGAGUAAGGAGCUGCUUCUUCCUCUCCCUCUCCUUCUGCCCCUCCCUCUGCUUGUACUCUCUCUAACUCUCUCUCUCAAAUAAAUAAAUAAAAUAUUUUUUAAAAGGUAGUGCUAAUGAAGUCCUCUUUCAGGGCUAUUAUGAGGUAAGGGACAUGGAAUAGGCACUUUUUGGAUAAAUAAAACAAAUAUUCAUUCAAACAAAAGCAAUUUGUAAGCACCUACUAUGUGUCAGAGAUUAUCAUCAUCAUCAUCAUCAUCAUUUUUGCUUCUCAGUGUGGAUAUUUAUCCAUUGAAAUCAAUAUCAGCUGUGUCAUUUGUUAACAUUCAGUGUUGUCUUAUAGUCUUUUCUGUGUGUGUAUGUUUUGUUUCCUCAAGUGAUUAUGUAUAAUGCACUAAAAUUCUUUCUUUUAAAUGACUUUCACUUCUUAUUAUUAAAUAUUUCACAUAAUAAAUAGUAGUAGUAAAUUCAUGUUGGUUGAUUUGUUUAAUAACUUCAUUACCAAUUGCACAGCUAAUUACAAGGAAGGAAUACUUGAAAAACAAACAGGUCCAUAAUCUUUGCUCUUAGAGAAUUUUUAAAAAUCAAAUCAUAGGGAGUAAAUAAAUACCCAGUUCACAUGAGAAUUGUUUUAAAGUAUAAAUAUUACAAUGUAUGUCAAGAACUUU
Long non-coding RNA from Canis lupus familiaris (dog), 4114 nucleotides. RefSeq lists it as uncharacterized. Lineage: Eukaryota; Metazoa; Chordata; Mammalia; Carnivora; Canidae. The record is from RefSeq and is a predicted model, not a curated record. The transcript has 3 exons.